This 241-nucleotide long non-coding RNA is filed under the name Elaeis guineensis (African oil palm). Its description in RNAcentral is "long non-coding RNA (EGUI_LNC029486)". Lineage: Eukaryota; Viridiplantae; Streptophyta; Magnoliopsida; Arecales; Arecaceae. The record is from RNAcentral.
UGUGUAGAAAUGAAAAUUCUAUUAUUUUUGAUAGUUUAAAAUAUCUGAUGCGGUGCAAAAUGAGUCCGAUGAUGGGGAACGAUUGGAGCGAUCCAGCUCAGAGUUGAUGUGGUGCUCUAUAUAGCUAAACCAAGUCUACUUCAAUGGAGCUGAGAGCGAGGAUGAGUGGACUAGAAGACCUAUGAUGUCAUGCAUCAUUCGACAUAAAAUCGUGCAGUUCGGAUAGGCAUCCACUCAGCAU